This 1448-nucleotide long non-coding RNA is filed under the name Salmo salar (Atlantic salmon). RNAcentral's name for it is "lncRNA (ENSSSAG00000101291.1, ENSSSAG00000104082.1)". The record is from RNAcentral. Lineage: Eukaryota; Metazoa; Chordata; Actinopteri; Salmoniformes; Salmonidae.
CAGGAACAGGACGUACUUUAUGGGCAGGCGCACUAGAGGCCUGAUACGUGGGGCUGGUUUUGGAGGCGCCAGCCUAGUAACAUGCACCUCAGGGCUAGUGCGAGGAGCAGGAACAGGGUAAACUGGACCGAGGAGAUGCACUGGUGGCCAGAUGCGCUGCACCGGCGCACUUCUCCCUAGCUGCCGGCUAACUCUCGCCUGGCAAUGCUGCGGAGCCCUUAUUGACCGCACCGGACUGUGCACGCAUAUGGGCAACACAGUGCGUAUCUCCGCAUAACAAGGUGCUUGCUUGAUUCGUCGCUCCCCAUAAUAAGCACUGGGAGUUGGCUCAGGUCUACAUCCUGACUCUGCCCAACUCCCCGUGUGCCCCCAAAAUUUUUGGGGGGUGGAUGCCUCUCGGCCUCAUCUAGCUCCCUUAGGUUCCUCUCCCAGAAACGUCGUUCUACCUCCCACGUCCAUCCUUCUCUUCGGUGCGCCAAUCCCUGCUGCUUGGUCCUUGUUUGGUGCUCCAAUCCCCGCUGCUUGGUCCUUGUUUGGUGCUCCAAUCCCCGCUGUAUGGUCCUUGUUUGGUGCGUGGUUCUGUCAAGGGCGUCGUAAGGAUUGGACCAAAACGCAGCGGGUUGCCAGGAAAGUGAUGUCCCCAGUAGGUAGUAUAACAGAACCGUCUGGCGUGUGUGUGUAACAGUGUAGGUUCCGUCCCUCUCUUCACCCCAACCCGGGCUCGAACCAGGGACUCUUGCACACAUCAACAACUGACACCCACCGAAGCAUCGUUACCCAUCGCGCCACAAAAGCCGCGGCCCUUGCAACGCAAGGGGAAACCCUACUUCAAGUCUCAGAGCGAGUGACGUCACUGAUUGAAACCGCUAACUAACUAGCCAUUUCACAUCGGUUACAUGUGGACAUGUUUAAUUAUGGUUAGGCCCCUUUUUUCUCAAUUUCCGCCUGAAUGACUUGCCCAAAGUAAACUGCCUGUAGCUCAGGCCUGAAGCCAGGAUAUGCAUAUAAUUGGUACCAUUGGAAAGAAAACACUUUAAAUAAUGUAGGAGAGUAUAACACAAUAGAUAUGGUAGGAGAAAAUCCAAAGAAAAACUGACCGAAAUUAUUUUUUCUUUGAGAGACCAUCCUCUUAGAAAUGCAAGAGAAAGGUCAUAUUGUAAAUUAGCUCCCUGGAUGGAAUUCCUACAGCUUCCACAGGGUGUCAGCAGUCUAUGUUCAAGGCUUCAGGCAUGUAACUUCAAAAACUAAUAAGAAAUAACAGUUUUUGUAGAAGGACACAGUCCUGGAAAUCCGUGUUUGCGCGCACCAUGAAGAAAUUUUGGACCUGCUAAAAUCGGUUUCCUACUUAAAUGUACCUAAAUGUUUAAAAUCUAUAAUAUUUAUGAUAAUUUAUUUGAAUUACGCGCCCUACAGUUUCACCGGAAGUUGUCCCGCUAGCGGCACCCCGA